This 483-nucleotide ribosomal RNA is filed under the name uncultured bacterium. RNAcentral describes it as "partial 16S ribosomal RNA". It matches the Rfam family "Bacterial small subunit ribosomal RNA", at positions 28 to 507 of the family's 1533-position model. The record is from RNAcentral.
GACGAACGCUGGCGGCGUGCUUAACACAUGCAAGUCGAACGCUGAAGCUCAGCUUUUGUUGGGUGGAUGAGUGGCGAACGGGUGAGUAACACGUGAGUAACCUGCCUCCUUCUUUGGGAUAACGCCCGGAAACGGGUGCUAAUACUGGAUAUUCACUGGUCUUCGCAUGGGGGUUGGUGGAAAGGGCUUUUCUGGUGGGGGAUGGGCUCGCGGCCUAUCAGCUUGUUGGUGGGGUGACGGCCUACCAAGGCUUUGACGGGUAGCCGGCCUGAGAGGGUGACCGGUCACAUUGGGACUGAGAUACGGCCCAGACUCCUACGGGAGGCAGCAGUGGGGAAUAUUGCACAAUGGGCGCAAGCCUGAUGCAGCGACGCCGCGUGAGGGAUGGAGGCCUUCGGGUUGUGAACCUCUUUCGCUCAUGGUCAAGCCGCAACAAUGGUUGUGGUGAGGGUAGUGGGUAAAGAAGCGCCGGCUAACUACGUG